Molecule: long non-coding RNA, 2707 nt
Filed under: Equus caballus (horse)
Lineage: Eukaryota; Metazoa; Chordata; Mammalia; Perissodactyla; Equidae
Description: lncRNA (ENSECAG00000054879.1)
Source: RNAcentral
CCCCAGCAAAGCUCAGUGGGCAGGGGUUCCCAGGGGCUGCACCACCCUCACCCCCCACAAAUGCAGGUCCUCCAGGGUUUGGUAGUGGGGACCCUGGGACAUCCUCCUGGGAACACCCCUCUGGCUGCUCCAAACGCACACCUGAUCGUUCAAUCAAGAGCUAGUGGAAUCAAAAAAGUUUCUGAGCCCAGGGCUUCUCAUUCCUUUCUGUUUUAUGACGUGACGGCUCUUAGACACAUGGGAGUGAAAGGAGCGUGUCUGAGCCCCAUUGUCCAUCCUCCAGAUUCGACAGCCAUUACUGUUUUUCACACACACACCCUCAUCUUUUCUUUCCCUUCCUUUUUCCUUGUUCAUUUCCACCAUGUUAAAGCAUCCACCAUCAGCAGUUGCUUUGCCCCAAUGAGCCUGAGUGAGCACCUUGGACACGUGCCUGUCCUGUCGUGCUGCAGUGUCACCAGCGAGAUGGAGGGUGUCCCCGGGUCCUCAGAUGCCUUUGGCGGCUGGUUUAUUUGCACCAGGAUCACUACCAGCCAUGCCACAGAAAGAUGUUAUGCAUAUAUUCAGAGGUCUGUGCCUCCCUGAGUGAAGAGGUCAUGUGAGGUCCAGGACCUCUGUGCUCUCGGGGCCUGAGAGGAAGUGCCCCCGACUGACUAGCGGGUCCCUCUGCCUCUGCAGCUGCUUCCUUCACGGACUCAGCACCUACUAAGCACAGGCCCCUCGAGGCUCAGGUUCGAGCACCCCUCCCUCAUUAACCUCCAUCUGUAGGAUGAGGAUGAUGAUGUGUUCUUUGCCCUGUCACUCUCCCUCCCUUAAUGGCCACUCGUGGGCCGGUCCAAGCCCUGAAGCCCCAUCCACAUGUCAGAAGCCACAGCCCUCCUGGUCAUCUUCAGCUGAAACACAGGGUCCUCAUGGCAUGGGCAGGUUCCAGGGCACCUGCUUCUCGGAGACACUGGGCAUCCGGCCACACCUGACCUUUGUGAGCACACAGAGACUGUCUGUGCGCAACUCCAGGCCCACUGCUGUGGACUGAAGGGUCACCCCCAAAUUCAUAUACAGAGGCCCUCAUCCCCAGUGCAGUGGUGGGUAGAAAUGGGGCCUUCGGGUGGUGACUGGGUACAGUGAGGUCAUGAGGGUGGGGCCCGCAUGAUGGCAUUGGCGUCCUUGUAAGAAGGACUCCAGAGAGCUCUCUCCCCCACUCCGUGUGGGGACGCAGCGAGACAGCAGCUCAGGGAGGCUACUUCCCAGCUGGGCUCUGGGAAACACAGCGCUGCCCCUUCUCUUCCCCACCUCGGCCUCCACAGAGCUCGCUUUUCAGGCUGGCCUGGCUGCUGCAGGCAGGAGGCCGCCUCCGAGGAUGGGGAUGGAGGUCAGCUCAGUUGGAUGAGAUGAGCAAGAGGGAAUUGGAUGUUUUGCUGCCGUGUUAAGUCUUCAGCUUGACCCAGAGUUAAAUUAGCAUUGACUACGACUGGCUCCUGAAUCUACCUCCCCAGUAGCUCGGAGCCCACAUUGGAAAGCGGGGAUUGAGGCCCUGAGACCCCAGCAUCUUGGAGACAGAGACCUGGGCCAUGUCAGGCUAUAGAGCAUCGCGGCCGUGGGCCGGGAUGGGGACGUUCAGGCAGGCAUGGCUAUAAACAAAAACGUGGAAGAUGACAAACGUUGCCUAAGAUGUGGGGAAACUGGAAGCCGAGUGCAUUGCUGGUGGGAAUGUGAGAUGGUGCAGCUCCUGUGGAAGCUAGUUUGGUGGCUCCUCAUAAAGUUAAACGGAAAAUUACCGUAGGACCCGGCAAUUCCACUCCGAGGUGUACACGCCAAAUAAUUGCAAACAGGUCCUCAAACACACGCACGUGAACGUUCACGGCAGAGCUGUUCGCAGGAGCCAAAAGGUGGAAACAACCCAAGUGUCCAUCAACAGAAGGAUGGAUAAACACAUCGUGAUGAGUACACACGAGGGGAUAUUAUUUAGCCCCGAAAAAGGAUGCAGCACUGAUACAGGCUCCAACGUGAAUGAGGGAGUGAAGCCAGACAUAAAAGGUCACGUAUCGUAUGAUUCUAUUUAUGUGAAAUAUCCAUCAUUUGAAAGUCCACAGAGACAGAAAGCAGAUUCCAGAACCCUAAUUUUUAAAUGGACACAUUGCUGAACAGCUAAGAAACUACGUUCCCAGCUUCCCUUGCAUCUCUGAUGACCACGUGACCAGGUUUUAGCCAAUGGGAGGCUAAUAGAAGUGUCACAUAGAUGUGGUGGACCAACUGUUACAACGAUGCCCGUGACCCUCGGCUCCGGAGGUUGACAUCUUCGUGUGAUCUUCUCCCCUGGAGGUGGGCAGGAGCUCUGACCUGCUUCUAGAGGCAGAGAAUACAGCAAAUGUGGUAGGAUGUCUGUGACUCCAUGUGCAUGAUUACGUGUUCAUACGUACAUCACUACGUACAGAAGAUGGUAAUGUCUGUCUUCCAAGCAGCCUCUGUCUUCCUUGCUCGUUUGCUGAAGGAAGUGGCCUUUAGGGGAAAGCCCACAGGACAAGAAACUGCAGGUGGCUUCUGGGAGCUGAGGGAGGCCUCCAGCCACCAGCCGGGAAGAAACGGAAGCCCUCAGUCCCACAACCACAGAGCUGGAAUGCUCUCAACAGAGCCAUGUUAACUUGGAGUUCUGCGGGUCAGAGGUCUAAGAUCCAGGUGUCAGCCGGGCUGUGUUCCUUCUGCAGAGUCCAGG